RNAcentral lists this ribosomal RNA (463 nucleotides) under uncultured bacterium. RNAcentral describes it as "partial 16S ribosomal RNA". It matches the Rfam family "Bacterial small subunit ribosomal RNA", at positions 339 to 795 of the family's 1533-position model. The record is from RNAcentral.
CUACGGGGUGCUGCAGUGGGGAAUAUUGCACAAUGGGCGCAAGCCUGAUGCAGCCAUGCCGCGUGUAUGAAGAAGGCCUUCGGGUUGUAAAGUACUUUCAGCGGGGAGGAAGGGAGUAAAGUUAAUACCUUUGCUCAUUGACGUUACCCGCAGAAGAAGCACCGGCUAACUCCGUGCCAGCAGCCGCGGUAAUACGGAGGGUGCAAGCGUUAAUCGGAAUUACUGGGCGUAAAGCGAACGCAGGCGGUUUGUUAAGUCAGAUGUGAAAUCCCCGGGCUCAACCUGGGAACUGCAUCUGAACUGGCAAGCUUGAGUCUCGUAGAGGGGGGUAGAAUUCCAGGUGUAGCGGUGAAAUGCGUAGAGAUCUGGAGGAAUACCGGUGGCGAAGGCGGCCCCCUGGACGAAGACUGACGCUCAGGUGCGAAAGCGUGGGGAGCAAACAGGAUUAGAUACCCCUGUAGUC